CAAGCCCAUUUGAUCCCACAAAAACACCAAACGCAGAGCCAAAGAAAAGCUUCAUGUCCUCUCUCAUUACCCUCCGCUCCAACCACUUCAAAGAAGACACUUACUUCGUCUCCGAACUCAAACCCGCCGAGCAGAAAGCUCUCCAAGACCUCAAAGAGAAGCUCUCGUCUUCCUCCUUCGGAGCUUCCUCCAUGUGGGGAGUCCCUCUCCUCGGCGGAGACGACAGAGCUGACGUCAUCCUCCUCAAGUUCCUCAGAGCAAGAGACUUCAAAGUCGGAGACUCGCUGAGGAUGCUCGAGAAGUGUUUGGAGUGGAGAGAAGAGUUCAAAGCAGAGAAACUGACCGAAGAAGAUCUUGGCUUCAAGGAUUUGGAAGGCAAAGUUGCUUACAUGAGAGGAUACGACAAGGAAGGACACCCCGUGUGUUACAACGCGUACGGUGUGUUUAAAGAGAGAGAGAUGUACGAGAGAGUGUUUGGUGACGAUGAGAAACUCAAAAGCUUUCUCAGAUGGAGAGUUCAGGUUCUGGAGAGAGGUGUCAAGAUGCUUCAUUUCAAACCUGGUGGUGUUAAUUCGAUGAUUCAGGUUACGGAUCUUAAGGACAUGCCUAAGAGAGAGCUUAGAGUUGCUUCAAACCAGAUCCUUUCUCUCUUUCAGGAUAAUUACCCUGAGAUGGUUGCUACUAAGGUAAAUGUUUCUUUUUGGAGACAAGAACUUGAAUCUCGAGAUUAUUAUGUUUCUGUACUUGUGUUGUCUGAAAAAACCCGUAGUAAAUGUUAUGUUUUUCAUGUGUUUUUGCUCUGUUUUGCGUGUUGGGUUGCUUGCGAAUCUCUCAUGCAAGAGAAUCUUAAAGUGUCUUAAAUGCUUAGUACAUGUCUGCUUAAUGAGGAAUCUAAAUCUCAUUCAAGAAAUAGUACUUAUCUUAACAUUGAUCUUGGAAUCUUGUUUAUGUUCAAAUUUUCAAAAUGGAUUUGGAAGAAAUAGUAAAGAGUGGUUUUAGAUGUUUCUGUGUUGGCAUCAUCCUCUGACUUGUGCAGUUUUGAUUCUUGUUUUUGUAUUUACUUUCCGUAAAUUUUACUUCUUAGCUUUUGUCAUCUACCGCUACAGUUAAAUUGAUGGAUUCUUUGUGUGGCCGUACGCUGAAUUUAUUAAUAAUCAGUCUCUAUUGACAAAGACAAUGCGUAAUAUCUAUAAACAAAGCAUUUCUCAUGUUGAUAUUUGAGUAACAAACUAAUAUUUUAAUAUGUAAAAAGUACUAAUAGAUCAUUUUAAAACUAUUCAACUCGUGAAGUUUUGAUGAAUCUUUUUUUGUAGAUAUUCAUCAAUGUGCCUUGGUACUUCAGUGUCAUCUACUCAAUGUUCAGCCCUUUCUUGACGCAUAGAACAAAGAGCAAGUUUGUUAUGUCCAAAGAAGGAAAUGCAGCUGAAACACUCUACAAGUAAUCACCAUACCACUCUCUCAAUACUAUUUUCUUUUAGUUUGUUUUCUUUACUUUACCCUUUUUCUAAUUAUGCAUACCAUCUUUGCUAUUUCAGGUUCAUAAGGCCAGAAGAUAUCCCGGUGCAGUACGGCGGUCUUAGCCGUCCUACUGACUCACAAAAUGGACCGCCAAAACCUGCAUCUGAAUUCUCCAUUAAGGGCGGUGAGAAAGUUAACAUUCAGAUUGAAGGCAUUGAGGUAAAUAUGUCAACAAGCAUUUUACAAAUAAAUGAUUUGAUGAAUUAUGAAAUUCUUUUUACGUGGAGAUAGAGGUGAUGGUCGAAGGAAAGAAGGAAAAAAAAAACAAGUAGUAUUGGCUUUUCUUGUAUAUUUUUCUUUCAAAAUGCUUUUUUUUUUUGUAUAUAUACUGUGGAUUUACAAAGUUAAAUCACAACAAAUGUACCAUCAAAGAAAAUUCCACAAAUUCAACCACUAGUUUUCUUGCUUCAGCUAAACAAGUUACCAUUUAUAAGUCGUUGUAAAUAAAUCAAAUUGAUAGAAUACGUCCAACCGUCAAAUUUAAAAUGAAAAUGUAAUUUGCUUCGGAGGCUGUCUUUAAGGCAUUCCCGAAUGAUUAAAGGGUACUUAAUCAAUUACUGUUCCACUGUCGCACUAAGUCAAAAGUGAACUCCAAAGCCAAAGGUUUCAAACAUUGUUAAAGUAUUAUGUCCACGAGAAUCAGCACAUUAGAGGCCCACCAGUUAUCAAUAAACGCCAAAACAUUUUACAGUUUUCCAAAUUUUGUAAUAAUUUUUGCAGAGAGAUAUUUAGAAUAUCAUAAAUGAAAACAAAAAAAAGAGACAUACUGAAAAUUCACAACUAAACAAUUAGUAUAUAGUUAACUAUAAAAGGAAGAGAUGUAUAUAAUGGAGUCUUACAAGUUCUACAAAAAAUCAAAUUGGCAAGAGCACUUACAUUCCUUUAUCAAAAAAUUACUGUAUCAAUUUUCUCUUAAUUUUGGUUUCAAAUUUUUGUAAAUAAAAUACUCAUUAAGAAGACAGGGAAUAAAUAAUAAUGAUAGAAAUUCCUACUAACUGUUGUUGUAAGUUUCAACUUAGAUGUGGUCCAACGUUAAUACCAUUGCCAUUGAUACACACAUAUAGGUAAUAAUAACUAUUCGUUUAGUUAUUCUUUUCUGGAAUGAUGUUAAUUAAAUGUUUAUUUUGUAGGUUAUGGGAAUGAACUGGAAAGUAUAAAGUCGAAAUCGCAUGGUGUGGAAAAGAUGAUUGUUUUUGGCUAAACUAAUGUAUUUUAUAUGCUAAUUGAGCGGAUCCCCAAAUAUUCUCAUAAUCCCACCUUAAUCCUUCUCAUAGUAUGUUGAAACUUGAAAUAAAGAGUGAGCUUUAAAAUCCUUUUGCUUUUUAGAAUCUAGAGGAGAGUAAGAUUUUACCAAGUUAUUGUAGUCUUUGAGUCUUAUAAUUCUAAGAUUAAUUGUACGUAAAUACCAUAUAUCCUCCACGUACGUACAAAGGACACAACAGAAACAAAGUAAACAACUUCAAUCCUAAUUUAGAUGCACUGAACAUCCACUCACCGUCCCACACACAAUCUAUACGUUACACAACAUAAGAUUCAACCCUAAGAAAUGUCAGAGAACGAUAAUACAACACUUGUACAAACACACUAGUACCAAACCUAGAUUCCCCAUCUCAUUCGAGAGAGAUAAGAUAAAGAGUGUGUGUUUGAACGUAGAGGUGACUUUUUUUUUUGAGUUUUGGUGAACCAAACACACCCCCCAUCUCUUCUCAUAAUUAUUAUCACCUCUUCUACACGUUACCUCUUUGCUGCAAACUCACGCUCCUCUCCUAAUGCACGUGACUACCACGCUCCACUUUCAAUCUCUCUGUUCUUUUUACCCAACACCAUUCUUCUUUUGUCUCAAUCCAAUUCGCUUAAAAAGAUCUUUUCCAAUCUCAGUUCACAUUCAAUUAACAAAACAUGUUUCCUGAUAUAUAUACUUUUCGAUUUUUGUGUUUUUUUUUUCAAACUAAAACAUUUCACACAUAUAUGUAUGGUCACAGUCUUCUAAUCAAUUUCGUAGAAAAUUUAAAAUAACAUUUCCUCCAUUUCCUACUAAGUUUUUUCAGACUAAAAUCUUCUGGUUUAUUUCUAGUUAAUAUUUUUUAUUAGAAACUAUAAAAAUUGAUUUUUCAAAUGUAUGCAACCAAAAUGUAUAAAAAAUUAUAAUGAAAAAAAUUUAAAUGAACACUUUAUAUAAAAAUAGCGUUGGAAUUGGAAAAUUCAGUAAAAAUAAGCUUUAUCAGAUUAUUUAAAUAAGCUUUAUCAGAUUAAUUUUUAUUUUAUAUUAUUGUAAAAAGCCGCGAUAUCUGUUCAAAAAUCAGAAAUCAAGAAGUCACGCCUAUAUCUUUCUCUCUCCCGUCACUCUCACUCCUCCUCCACGUCUUGCUUAUCAUUACAUCGAUCCUCCUUUGUCUCUCAUCUCUGUUUUUCUCUUCUCCAUAGAUAAUCAAGAAUCAAUGGACUCUGCAUUGUCCCCAAGCCCAUUUGAUCCCACAAAAACACCAAACGCAGAGCCAAAGAAAAGCUUCAUGUCCUCUCUCAUUACCCUCCGCUCCAACCACUUCAAAGAAGACACUUACUUCGUCUCCGAACUCAAACCCGCCGAGCAGAAAGCUCUCCAAGACCUCAAAGAGAAGCUCUCGUCUUCCUCCUUCGGAGCUUCCUCCAUGUGGGGAGUCCCUCUCCUCGGCGGAGACGACAGAGCUGACGUCAUCCUCCUCAAGUUCCUCAGAGCAAGAGACUUCAAAGUCGGAGACUCGCUGAGGAUGCUC
RNAcentral lists this long non-coding RNA (4271 nucleotides) under Brassica napus (rape). Its description in RNAcentral is "long non-coding RNA (BNAP_LNC008151)". Lineage: Eukaryota; Viridiplantae; Streptophyta; Magnoliopsida; Brassicales; Brassicaceae. The record is from RNAcentral.